This 1136-nucleotide long non-coding RNA is filed under the name Phocoena sinus (vaquita). RNAcentral describes it as "lncRNA (ENSPSNG00000011828.1)". The record is from RNAcentral. Lineage: Eukaryota; Metazoa; Chordata; Mammalia; Artiodactyla; Phocoenidae.
AGGGCUGUCUGUGAGAACACUUGUUCUGUGCUCUGGUUCCUGGGCUGUUACAGAAAAGCUGAUGAUGGUAGAUGAGAAACAAUUGAGCAGCUGGACAAUUACUAGAAGAAUGAAGACCUAAAUGACCUCAGCAAAUCCUCCUUUAACUCAUGGGUACCCAGACUCUAAAUAUUUCAUGAUUCACAACCAGGACCUCACAUCUUCCUCCUCAGUAGAUGGUACGAUGCACCCAUUUCAGUUUGUUUACUUUACACAAUCCUCAGGAGUUUGUUGACUGAACUGCACGUUCUAUAUCGUGCCAAGAAAAAAGCACUGUGACACCAGAACAAUGAGUCUGCAUAAACUUCAUCUUCGACCUUAAGGACUUAGCUGGCCACAUGAGCUGAUGUGCCCCCCACCGUGCCACAAGAGAAUGGGUUUACGCUCAUUGCAUUUACAAGACACAUUUCAUCUGCUGCUGAAACCGUGUACGACAGAGCAUCAUUGUAAAUUAUUUCAUACGGAACUGUUUGCUUUGGGUGGAGAGAGUAUUAAAUAUUUAACAUAGGUUUUUGAUUUAUAAGUGUAAUUUUUUUAAUUAAAAUGUAACUUUUCUUACAGCACAUCUUUUUUUGGGAUGUGGAACUGAGGUAUACAAUGUUCUGUUGUAAAGAGUGGAGCAAAUGCUUAAAACAAGGCUAACAAGAGUAGAGUAGGGUACGAUCCUUGUUUUAAGAUUGUAAUUCAGAAAAGUAAUAUAAUAAGAAUCAUAGUGCCAUAGAUGGUUCUCAAUUGUAUAGUUCUAUUUGCUGAUACUAUCUCUUGUAAUAUAGCCCUGAUGUUGAGCUGAGAUCCUUUCAAGAGCUGAUCUUAAUUUCGUAAUUUUUUUUUCCUGUAAGGCAAUAGGCCAUGUUAAUUAAACUGAAGAAGGGUAUAUUCUACUGGGUAUUUUCAAGUGUCAGCUUAAAAUUGGCAAUUGAAUGGAAGCAAAAUUACAAGAAAAGGCAUUCAGUGUCUUCCAUUGUAUAUACUGUAAAGAGGAGGCGACAUGGGUGAUCCCUUGGAAUCAAAAGCUCUCUUUGGAAUGAACAAUGUGGGUGUUUGUAAAUUCUGGAAAUUUCUUUCUAUUCAUAAUAAACUAGAGACUGUUGAUCUUU